RNAcentral lists this ribosomal RNA (495 nucleotides) under uncultured bacterium. RNAcentral describes it as "partial 16S ribosomal RNA". It matches the Rfam family "Bacterial small subunit ribosomal RNA", at positions 28 to 507 of the family's 1533-position model. The record is from RNAcentral.
GACGAACGCUGGCGGCGUGCCUAAUACAUGCAAGUAGAACGCUGAAGGAGGAGCUUGCUUCUCUGGAUGAGUUGCGAACGGGUGAGUAACGCGUAGGUAACCUGCCUGGUAGCGGGGGAUAACUAUUGGAAACGAUAGCUAAUACCGCAUAAGAGUAGAUGUUGCAUGACAUUUGCUAAAAAGGUGCAAUUGCAUCACUACCAGAUGGACCUGCGUUGUAUUAGCUAGUUGGUGGGGUAACGGCUCAUCAAGGCGACGAUACAUAGCCGACCUGGGAGGGUGAUCGGCCACACUGGGACUGGGACACCGCCCAGAACCCUAAGGGAGGGAACAAGAGGGGAACUUUGGCAAUGGACGGAAAGCUGGACGAGCAAAGCCGCGUGAGGUAAGGAGGUUUUCGGAUCCGAAAGCUCUGUUUUAAGGGGAGAAAGAGUGUGAGAGUGAAAAGUUCACGCUGUGACGGUAUCUUACCAGAAAGCGACGGCUAACUACGUG